Molecule: unclassified non-coding RNA, 286 nt
Filed under: uncultured Glomerales
Lineage: Eukaryota; Fungi; Glomeromycota; Glomeromycetes; Glomerales; Glomeraceae
Description: sequence contains 5.8S rRNA gene, ITS2, 28S rRNA gene
Source: RNAcentral
AACGCAAAUUGCACUUUCUGGUAUUCCGGAGAGUAUGCCUGUUUGAGGGUCAGUGUAAUAAAUAAAUCGUGGUGAUUACCACCUUUCGUGGUGACGCUUCGGAAUUGAGUCGUCUUACCUUCGGUUAAGUGACUUAAAAUUUUUUCAUACGAUUUCGAAACGUAUUUAAUGUAUUAUGUACGUUCACGAAUACCGAAUGUUUAUUAGGUGCGGUCAUUUUCAUGAAUUCGCGUCUAUAAUUUUUUUUUUUGACCUCAAAUCAGGUAAGAAUACCCGCUGAACUUAA